CAGCUUUAAGAUGGAGGCAACUCGCUCAGUGUUUCCUGUUUCAUUCUUAGACUGUGGCGAUGGUAAGUAGCAGCUUUUCACUUGUUACCUGGCAUCUUUUCAGCCACCAAUGAUAGUCAUUGUAUGUUAUCAACAUUUCACUAACUAUGUUUUCUCUCAUGUUUAAAAUAGGCCGACCAAGAGCAAAAUAGAAGACAACAAUUUCUCAAAGGAGGUUCAAAACUAAUGCCUACAAGAUUACCAAGAGGAUGGUUCGGGGCUCUUACAUGACUCCGGGAAGUCAACACUUGGUGGAUGAGAUCCUUCACAGCAUGUUGUUUCUGGGCAAAAUCAACAACAUCCCCUUUUCUCCAGAAGAAAUCUUCCCUAAUCCUU
Molecule: non-coding RNA, 375 nt
Organism: Maylandia zebra (zebra mbuna)
Lineage: Eukaryota; Metazoa; Chordata; Actinopteri; Cichliformes; Cichlidae
Source: RefSeq, a predicted model, not a curated record